GUGCCAGAAGCCGCGGUAAUACGUAGGUGGCAAGCAUUGUCCGGAUUUAUUGGGCGUAAAGCGCGCGCAGGCGGCUAUGUAAGUCUGGUGUUAAAGCCCGGGGCUCAACCCCGGUUAGCAUCGGAAACUGCAGAGCUUGAGUGUAGAAGAGGAAAGCGGUAUUCCACGUGUAGCGGUGAAAUGCGUAGAGAUGUGGAGGAACACCAGUGGCGAAGGCGGCUUUCUGGUCUAUAACUGACGCUGAGGCGCGAAAGCGUGGGGAGCAAACAGGAUUAGAAACCCCUGUAGUCC
RNAcentral lists this ribosomal RNA (291 nucleotides) under uncultured bacterium. RNAcentral describes it as "partial 16S ribosomal RNA". It matches the Rfam family "Bacterial small subunit ribosomal RNA", at positions 505 to 796 of the family's 1533-position model. The record is from RNAcentral.